This 357-nucleotide ribosomal RNA is filed under the name Terribacillus saccharophilus. RNAcentral's name for it is "bacterial LSU rRNA". It matches the Rfam family "Bacterial large subunit ribosomal RNA", at positions 2281 to 2637 of the family's 2925-position model. The record is from RNAcentral. Lineage: Bacteria; Bacillati; Bacillota; Bacilli; Caryophanales; Bacillaceae.
GGGCGCCUCCGUUACUCUUUCGGAGGCGCCCAAAGGUUCCCUCAGAAUGGUUGGAAAUCAUUCGUAGCGUGCAAAGGCAGAAGGGAGCUUGACUGCGAGACCUACAAGUCGAGCAGGGACGAAAGUCGGGCUUAGUGAUCCGGCGGUGCCGUAUGGAAGGGCCGUCGCUCAACGGAUAAAAGCUACCCCGGGGAUAACAGGCUUAUCUCCCCCAAGAGUCCACAUCGACGGGGAGGUUUGGCACCUCGAUGUCGGCUCAUCGCAUCCUGGGGCUGUAGUCGGUCCCAAGGGUUGGGCUGUUCGCCCAUUAAAGCGGUACGCGAGCUGGGUUCAGAACGUCGUGAGACAGUUCGGUCC